RNAcentral lists this transfer-messenger RNA (354 nucleotides) under Heliophilum fasciatum. RNAcentral's name for it is "Standard tmRNA". It matches the Rfam family "transfer-messenger RNA". Rfam says of the family: Bacterial tmRNA, also known as 10Sa RNA or SsrA, is named for its dual tRNA and mRNA-like properties. The record is from Rfam by way of RNAcentral. Lineage: Bacteria; Bacillati; Bacillota; Clostridia; Eubacteriales; Heliobacteriaceae.
GGGGGCGUAAUGGUUUCGACGGGGAAUGGGUAGGUACAGGAAGCGAGCAGUGGUCACCGCAGGCCACUUUAAACAGGCGGUACUGCUUAACUGCAGAAGAUAACUACGCUUUAGCUGCUUAAUUGCAGCCUAACCUCUUACCUUCUGUACUCCCGGUGAGGGAUAAGGGGUCAUUUUAGGGAGUUAGUCACGGUCAAUUCUCGGAGACUGGUGGCGAAAUUUAUCGAGAUAGCCUGACCAACGCUUUGUCGCUUGUGCGGAAGGAUGGCGAAAUCUAAAACAAGAGACUACGCUCGUAGAUGCCUCUGUUGACUCUUCUUCGGACGCUGGGUUCGACUCCCGCCGCCUCCACCA